Molecule: ribosomal RNA, 521 nt
Filed under: uncultured bacterium
Lineage: Bacteria
Description: bacterial SSU rRNA
Rfam family: Archaeal small subunit ribosomal RNA
Source: RNAcentral
AACCUCCGCAAUGUGAGAAAUCGCGACGGGGGGAUCCCAAGUGCCAUUCUUAACGGGAUGGCUUUUCAUUAGUGUAAAGAGCUUUUGGAAUAAGGGCUGGGCAAGACCGGUGCCAGCCGCCGCGGUAACACCGGCAGCUCUAGUGGUAGCAGUUUUUAUUGGGCCUAAAGCGUCCGUAGCCGGUUUAAUAAGUCUCUGGUGAAAUCCUGUAGCUUAACUGUGGGAAUUGCUGGAGAUACUAUUAGACUUGAGACCGGGAGAGGUUAGAGGUACUCCCAGGGUAGAGGUGAAAUUCUGUAAUCCUGGGAGGACCGCCUGUUGCGAAGGCGUCUAACUGGAACGGUUCUGACGGUGAGGGACGAAAGUUAGGGGCGCGAACCGGAUUAGAUACCCGGGUAGUCCUAACCGUAAACGAUGCGGACUUGGUGUUGGGGUGGCUUUGAGCUGCUCCAGUGCCGAAGGGAAGCUGUUAAGUCCGCCGCCUGGGAAGUACGGUCGCAAGACUAGAAUUUAAAAGGAUU